RNAcentral lists this long non-coding RNA (266 nucleotides) under Nicotiana benthamiana. RNAcentral's name for it is "long non-coding RNA (NBEN_LNC041261)". The record is from RNAcentral. Lineage: Eukaryota; Viridiplantae; Streptophyta; Magnoliopsida; Solanales; Solanaceae.
GUUCCGGAAGCAUUUUGGAGCUGUUUUGAGCCUGUUUUGGGGCGAAAAUAGUGCCGUCCGUAACACCAUGGCCUGACACGUCAUGACGUUCCGGAAGCAUUUUGGAGCUUUUUUGAGCCUGUUUUGGGGCGAAAAUAGUGCCAUCCGUAACAUUCUCCCCCGCUCAAUCUCGCGACGACCUCGGCGCGUGCUCCUUGUAAGCGUGGAUGAGGUCUUGGUGAUUCCACAAAGUUAGUUCAUGCUCCCAGCUCGCCUCGCUGUCGGGA